UUUACUCACUCAACUUUAAAAGCUUUUAAGUUCUCACAAGGUAAUUUAAGAAAAAAGAGCAUCGUUUUCGUGUAUAGUAUUCAAACUUUUGAAGUCUUUUAAAGUUGAGUGGGUGAA
RNAcentral lists this microRNA precursor (117 nucleotides) under Olea europaea subsp. europaea. The record is from RNAcentral. Lineage: Eukaryota; Viridiplantae; Streptophyta; Magnoliopsida; Lamiales; Oleaceae.